Long non-coding RNA from Humulus lupulus (European hop), 1641 nucleotides. RefSeq lists it as uncharacterized. The transcript is spliced from 4 exons. The record is from RefSeq and is a predicted model, not a curated record. NCBI's taxonomy places the organism in Eukaryota, Viridiplantae, Streptophyta, Magnoliopsida, Rosales, Cannabaceae.
ACUCAAGAAAAAAAAAAGAACUCUCUCCAUUUCUCUCCCCAAAACCGAGAGCCCUCUCUCUCUACUCCAUUUUUUUCCUCUCUUCUUCUUCAAAUCCGAAAUCCUAAGGGGUGGAUAUGCAUGCAUCUGAUUCUAAUGCCCAUCCAUGGCGUGGAUCUUGUAUUCUAGGGUUCAAAAGAGGUGGUUCUAGGAGAAUCUCAAGGUAAAGGUUCUAGAGUUUUUAUGUUUUUCCACAAAAAAUCAUCUUCUACCCUAAAAAUCCUUUAAAAAUCUGCAUGUGGAACUAUUGGGGCUUGGUUUAAGUGUAUAGAACGCAAGGAGGAAUUUUGAAAAGCUAAGGGAAUUCCAUCUCCAAGCUAGAACUACAAAGGGUAAGUGCAAAAGCAAAGUGGAGCAGUGAGCGCCGGAGUCUGCUUGUGGAUAUGUACAUGUGGCCCAACCUGGGAAGGUUUUUGAUGGAACACCAUUUUGAAAGAAACGUUACAUGUAAUCUGUUAAUGUGUUCGACAUCUACAGCACUCCAUAGGUUGCCGAGGCUCCCCCGAGCAAGAAGAAAACCAGCAAGAGACAUCACGGGGAGAGCAUCAAAGCGCCUCAGGCGAAGUAGGCUCGGAACAUAGGCCCUUCGGAGGAUAGGCCCUCCGCCACCACGACUCCACCUUCUCCCCACGAGAAGCAGACUCAUUUUGCUCCAGUCGGACUGACUCCUCCUCCCGCGGCCCCGACCGACCAACCUCAGUAGGUUGAUCCUGCUUCAACCGGGGGUGAGAUGGUUGGUCGCGCCUUCAAACUAAUCAAGGAUAGGAUCACCAAGAUUGCAAAGCACGACUGCUGCCGAGGGGCAAUGGCUGCUACAGAGACGAUGGAAGUUGACUCGAUCCUGAACCGUGCCCUAAACGAGUUUACCAGUGCCAUGCUGACCCUUACUGCCGGCCGAAUCCGCUUGGGUGCCGUCACCAAGUAGGCCAGAACUUUGGAGCAACGGCAUGAGGAUGAACUUAAAGCUGCUGAGGCCAAACAUGCUGAACAACUGUCGGCGGUGGUUGAGGAAAAGGCCCAAUUGGCUAAGGAGUUGGAGGAGAAGCAGAGGUCUUUGGAGAAGGUUCGCAAGUAGAGGGACCAAUUUAAGGAGUCCAACCGCUUUAACUUAUGGACGGCCCAACAACUCGAGGUGGACUUGAUUGCGAGCAGACAGAAGACCACUACUCUGGAGGGCCGGGUCGAAGAGUUGGAGAAGGCCAAUGCUGGCAACUUGGAAAGGUACAAGAAUGCCACUCUUCGAUGCUCCUAUGAUUUCUGGAAGCACAAUCAGGGUGCCAACUUCGACUAUCUUCUUGAGAAUUUGAGGGAUGCCGAGCUAGUUCGCUGCACUGCACAACUGGCUGAGGAAGAAAGAUCAAGGGUUCCUGCUUCCCUUGAAAUCUCGCUGGCCGCUGGGAUGGAUAGGGCAAACAAUGAGGCACCGGGUGCUGUCGACCAGAACCUUCCCCAAGAUCCUUCGGCUCCUCAAAAUCCUUGAGCUCCUUAGUCUUUCCUUUUUAUGUUUUUUCUUUUUUAACUACACGACCUAUAGGUCGUGAUGUAAAAAACAAUAUAAUUUUUUGGUUUGCUGCAUGGGCAGCUUUUACUUUUACUUGAACA